RNA transcript from Adelges cooleyi (spruce gall adelgid), 1906 nucleotides. It is a transcript of the gene named KH domain-containing, RNA-binding, signal transduction-associated protein 2-like, with no coding region annotated. The record is from RefSeq and is a predicted model, not a curated record. The transcript has 9 exons. Lineage: Eukaryota; Metazoa; Arthropoda; Insecta; Hemiptera; Adelgidae.
ACCUUGACGGCCAUUUUCCACGCGCUUUUGAGUUCACCAAACCCCCCCAAGUAUUCAACUGUGUCUUGUAAAUUGUAAUCUCGAAUACGAUUAUUGAGCGGUGUGCCAAAUGCCGACUUACCGGAUUAUUGGUCAUUGAAAACCGAUCUUCGCGUUGAAAACACCUACAUUUUUUGAGUUUCGAUCAAUAUUUCUUCUUGACGCUGUUUUUUUUACACCGUUAACAGAUACAAUUUAAUAUAUUAUUUACUGGAUAUCGUAAACAAUGUCUUCAAACGAUAUGAAUGAUAGUGCAAACGGAGACCUGACUUCAGAACCAAAACCUAAUGAAUAUGUAUCGGCCCUAGUCAAAGAAAAAUAUGCCUUGGACGUGGAGUCUCAUCCAAAUGCAAUGAAACUCAUAGACAACGAAAUUUCCAGAGCGCAGACAACCAAUGCAAAACCUGAAGCUGCCUACUUAGAUAUAAACAGUGACAAACCAAUUCGGCUUACAGCUAAAAUUAUGGUUCCAGCUAAAGAAUUUCCCAGGUUUAACUUUGUCGGAAAAUUAUUAGGACCAAAAGGAAAUUCAUUAAAACGUUUACAAGAAGAUACAAUGACUAAAAUGGCAAUAUUAGGGAAAGGAUCAAUGCGCAAUAAAGAAAAGGAAGAUGAAAUGAGGAGUUCAUUAAAUCCAAAAUUUUCUCACUUAGCUGAUGAGCUUCAUGUUCAAGUGACUGCUUAUGCACCGCCAGCUGAAGCAUAUGCACGACUUGCAUAUGCUCUUGCUGAACUUCGAAAAUUUUUGAUACCUGACCACAAUGAUCAAAUAGCACAAGAACAAGCACGUGAAAUGCAACAAUUUGGAGGCGCUCCUCCUGUCCGCCAUCCUGGACCAAUAAUCCACGCUCCACCUCCCCCACCAGUCAUUCGCGCUAUGCCCCCUCAGGCAGUAAGAAUGCCCAGAGCACCAGUUCCAGGAAAAGCCAAAGUACUAAGUAUUUUAGAUCGAGCUCGUUCAGCUAUGGAAGGAACCAACGCUUACCCUGGAAAUGGUGGUUAUGGAGAUUCGGCGUCUUAUUCCCACUAUGAUUCUGGUUAUGGCGGUGUUGCGACUUAUAAUGGGGGUGGCAAUGACGAAUAUUAUUCAGGAAAUUCAUUUGCCCAAGAUGUUAAUCCAUCGUCGGGAGGUCGUGGAUGGAAAAACUACAGCACAGGAGGUGGUGGUGGCGGCGGUAGUGGACCGUCCAAACAGGCGGGAAACCAAGGGGGACGAUAUGGCGGUCGCAAUGCUCCUUAUUCCAGACAGAAAUAAUCAGGCGUAUAAUCGUGAAAUUAAUUACCUAAAAUAAUUUCCAGCUUUGAAAAUCAAUAUAUAAGAAGAGAAGAGUAUUUAAAUGUGUUUUAAAUAUUGUGUCGAGAUCAUCGAUUUUAGUUUUGGAACUUAUUCAAGACUAAUAUUUAAUUUAACUAAAAACCAAAUAGUGAGGUUUAAUGUAAAAUUCAAUAUUUGAAAGUGAUAAAUACUAUUUAUUUUAGUUACAAACGUUAAAUAACUUAUUUGUGGUAAGUUGUUAAAAAACUAUAACAUUGUUUACUCAAAAAUGUAUUUCAUGAACAAACCAUUAAAAAAAAAAAAUGUGCGUUAUCUUUCGCAUCUGUAAUGAUUUUGUGGAGGGCACACAUUUGAAAGAAUAAAAAAAAUAAAAUCAGGAUUGUUCCAAUGUGAUACAACAGUUGACUUCUAUAAGAACAUACAAUGAUCUAUGUUGUGAAAAUGUUUGUAUACAAUUUAUUUGAUCUCACAAUUUCACUAGUAAUGAACUAAUAUACUAAAUCAAGACUGACAUUUUAACAGUUAUUAAACUGUUUUUUUUUACUUUGUAUUGUUUUAAUUUUUGUAAAUAAAUAAAAACUUAUUUAGAAA